AGAAAUUGUACUGUUUCUCACAUAAUUUAGAACAAAUCAAGGUAAUUUAUUUUCUGGUUAAAAUUUAAAAAAAUAGUCUCAGUUCUCUAGUAGUGAAAGGGGCUUAAAGGAGAGACUUGAAUUUAUUUGUACUUAUUCUGAAAAGCAUUUCAGACAGAAUAAGUGGGGAUUUUUUUUCAGUUUUUUUGUGUUUAUGUAUAUGGUGUAUGUUCUUGAUAAAGAAUACAAUAAAUAGAUUCAUCUUAAAUUUUUUUGGCAGAGAAACUGCUGUAUAAAAACAAAUUAACUGUGAAAUGUUACUCUUUGAGAAUGUUUUCCUGAAACUAUAAUUGUUUUUUUGCACCUCCCUCUCACCCCACUGGAUACUGAAAUAGUAUUGUUUUGUUAUUCUGUUUUACUUCAACAAUACUAUAUAGUGUUGUUCCUAUUUUGAUGAGAGAACAAAAACAAACAUUUUUUAAACCGUUACUUUUGAUGCAUGUCUUUGAUAAACUAAUCUAUACUUUCAAGUUUAUUAUGUCAUUAAAGUAAAAUUUA
This 537-nucleotide long non-coding RNA is filed under the name Bos taurus (domestic cattle). RNAcentral's name for it is "long non-coding RNA NONBTAT024480". The record is from RNAcentral. Lineage: Eukaryota; Metazoa; Chordata; Mammalia; Artiodactyla; Bovidae.